GCGGGUAUCGUAUAAAGGCUAUUACCCCAGCCUUCCAAGCUGGUGAUGUGGGUUCGAUUCCCACUACCCGCUCCA
RNAcentral lists this transfer RNA (75 nucleotides) under Litorivicinus lipolyticus. RNAcentral describes it as "Litoricola lipolytica tRNA-Gly". It matches the Rfam family "tRNA". Rfam says of the family: Transfer RNA (tRNA) molecules are approximately 80 nucleotides in length. Their secondary structure includes four short double-helical elements and three loops (D, anti-codon, and T loops). Further hydrogen bonds mediate the characteristic L-shaped molecular structure. tRNAs have two regions of fundamental functional importance: the anti-codon, which is responsible for specific mRNA codon recognition, and the 3' end, to which the tRNAs corresponding amino acid is attached (by aminoacyl-tRNA synthetases). tRNAs cope with the degeneracy of the genetic code in two manners: having more than one tRNA (with a specific anti-codon) for a particular amino acid; and 'wobble' base-pairing, i.e. permitting non-standard base-pairing at the 3rd anti-codon position. The record is from RNAcentral. RNAcentral also lists the same sequence under 2 other names. Lineage: Bacteria; Pseudomonadati; Pseudomonadota; Gammaproteobacteria; Oceanospirillales; Litorivicinaceae.